This 253-nucleotide ribosomal RNA is filed under the name uncultured bacterium. RNAcentral's name for it is "partial 16S ribosomal RNA". It matches the Rfam family "Bacterial small subunit ribosomal RNA", at positions 524 to 776 of the family's 1533-position model. The record is from RNAcentral.
GACGAACCGUGCGAACGUUAUUCGGAAUUACUGGGCGUAAAGAGUGUGUAGGCGGUGCUCUAAGUUCGGUGUGAAAUCUCCCGGCUUAACUGGGAGGGUGCGCCGGAAACUGGAGUGCUCGAGCGUGGGAGAGGAAAGCGGAAUUCCUGGUGUAGCGGUGAAAUGCGUAGAUAUCAGGAGGAACACCUGCGGUGUAGACGGCUUUCUGGACCAUUGCUGACGCUGAGACACGAAAGCGUGGGUAGCAAACAGG